CGGGUGAGUAACGCGUAGGAAUCUACCCAGUAGUGGGGGACAACUAGUGGAAACGCUAGCUAAUACCGCAUACGCCCUACGGGGGAAAGCGGGGGACCUUCGGGCCUCGUGCUAUUGGAUGAGCCUGCGUAAGAUUAGCUUGUUGGUGAGGUAAUGGCUCACCAAGGCGACGAUCUUUAGCUGGUCUGAGAGGAUAAUCAGCCACACCGGGACUGAGACACGGCCCGGACUCCUACGGGAGGCAGCAGUCGGGAAUAUUGCGCAAUGGGCGAAAGCCUGACGCAGCCAUGCCGCGUGUGUGAAGAAGGCCCUAGGGUUGUAAAGCACUUUCAAUUGGGAGGAAAAGCUAAUGGUUAAUAACCAUUAGCCCUGACGUUACCUUUAGAAGAAGCACCGGCUAACUCCGUGCCAGCAGCCGCGGUAAUACGGAGGGUGCAAGCGUUAAUCGGAAUUACUGGGCGUAAAGCGCGCGUAGGCGGUAUUUUAAGUCGGAUGUGAAAGCCCCGGGCUCA
This 512-nucleotide ribosomal RNA is filed under the name uncultured bacterium. Its description in RNAcentral is "bacterial SSU rRNA". It matches the Rfam family "Bacterial small subunit ribosomal RNA", at positions 103 to 611 of the family's 1533-position model. The record is from RNAcentral.